UUUUAAUUUUAAUAAAGAAAUUUUUUUAAUAAUAUUUUAAGUGUUUAAUUUUUUAAGUACAUUUGCUAAAGAAGUUAUCACGGAAGUACACUAGCUGUAGACUUUUUUUUGGUUGCAAAUUUUGAAUUAUAAAUAUUUUAUGUAUUUUUUCGAAUUUUUAAAAGAUUGGUACUCAAUUUUAUGCAUUUUUUUUACUUAUUCAAUAAUUCUAUAUUUUUAUUUUAUUUUUUAAAAUUUUUGAUAAAGU
This 247-nucleotide long non-coding RNA is filed under the name Lathyrus oleraceus (garden pea). RNAcentral's name for it is "Pisum sativum (pea) long non-coding RNA (PSAT_LNC031490)". Lineage: Eukaryota; Viridiplantae; Streptophyta; Magnoliopsida; Fabales; Fabaceae. The record is from RNAcentral.